UGAUUCAACAUAGAUCGAUGA
RNAcentral lists this unclassified non-coding RNA (21 nucleotides) under Dictyostelium discoideum. Lineage: Eukaryota; Evosea; Eumycetozoa; Dictyosteliales; Dictyosteliaceae. The record is from RNAcentral.